Molecule: unclassified non-coding RNA, 391 nt
Filed under: soil metagenome
Description: partial contains 5.8S ribosomal RNA, internal transcribed spacer 2, and large subunit ribosomal RNA
Rfam family: 5.8S ribosomal RNA (bases 1-122)
Source: RNAcentral
GAUGAAGAACGCAGCGAAAUGCGAUACUUGGUGUGAAUUGCAGAAUCCCGUGAACCAUCGAGUCUUUGAACGCAAGUUGCGCCCGAAGCCAUUAGGCCGAGGGCACGCCUGCCUGGGCGUCACACGUUGUUGCCCCCCCAUCUACUCCUUCGGGAUUGCGGGGGGCGGAUGAUGGCCUCCCGUGCGCCUCGCCGCGCGGUUGGCAUAAAUGCCAAGUCCUUGGCGACGCACGCCACGACAAUCGGUGGUUGCGAAACCUCGGUUGCCCGUCGUGUGCGGUCGUCGCGCAUCGAGGGCUCGAAAAAAUUGCCGGGUUCCGGCUCGGCUUUCAACGCGACCCCAGGUCAGGCGGGGUUACCCGCUGAAUUUAAGCAUAUCAAUAAGCGGAGGA